Molecule: ribosomal RNA, 527 nt
Filed under: Arthrobotrys musiformis
Lineage: Eukaryota; Fungi; Ascomycota; Orbiliomycetes; Orbiliales; Orbiliaceae
Description: SSU rRNA
Rfam family: Eukaryotic small subunit ribosomal RNA
Source: RNAcentral
UUGUCUCAAAGAUUAAGCCAUGCAUGUCUAAGUAUAAGCAACUAUACAGUGAAACUGCGAAUGGCUCAUUAAAUCAGUUAUCGUUUAUUUGAUAGUACCUUACUACUUGGAUAACCGUGGUAAUUCUAGAGCUAAUACAUGCUAAAAAUCCCGACCUCUGGAAGGGAUGUAUUUAUUAGAUAAAAAACCAAUGCCUUCGGGCUCCUUGGUGAUUCAUGAUAACUUAACGAAUCGCAUGGCCUUGCGCCGGCGAUGGUUCAUUCAAAUUUCUGCCCUAUCAACUUUCGAUGGUAGGAUAGUGGCCUACCAUGGUUUCAACGGGUAACGGGGAAUUAGGGUUCGAUUCCGGAGAGGGAGCCUGAGAAACGGCUACCACAUCCAAGGAAGGCAGCAGGCGCGCAAAUUACCCAAUCCCGAUUCGGGGAGGUAGUGACAAUAAAUACUGAUACAGGGCUCUUUUGGGUCUUGUAAUUGGAAUGAGUACAAUUUAAAUCCCUUAACGAGGAACAAUUGGAGGGCAAGUCUGG